AAUUUCUUGCAAGUAUAAAGGUUGUAAAAGUAAAAAUGUUAUAAAUAUUUUUUACUUGUUAUAUUUGUGUUUAUGAAUAGGUGGCAUUCUAUAUGUGCCAUAUUUAACAAGUUAUUAGGUUGCUACCAGAUCAGCUCCAUUCUGCUAGGUAUGAAAAGGAAAACAGAAACCAAGAUCCUCAUUGUUUGGUUUGUGCUUUGCAAGUUCUAAACAUCACAUUUAUUGUAAGUUUAAGAGAAAAGGAGGAUGGCAAUUGCAAAGAUCAUAAGGAUGUUUGGUCUGUUGAAUGAAAAAGGUCACAGUUCCUGGAACGCAGAAAAUCUGUAAGCUUAUUCAUUCACUCAUACUGAAAAAGAAGAACACAGAAAGACUCAUCAGUACCUCUUCUGUGACAUACUCUAGCCUUAAACGGAACUUGGUUUAGCAGAGAGUUGCAGAAAAAAUUUGUAAGUGCUACAGAGAAGCAGCAGUGAGUGGGUUAAUAGGAAAGGGGAAUGGGCAGCAGGCAGGAAAAAAACAGGCAAAUAGGUUUAUUAUAUUUAGAUAAUAAAAAUAACAAUUAAUAUAUAUAUAACAUAUAUAAAUGAUAUAUAAUGUAUGCAAAAUGCCACUCCUUACCUGCCAGAUAGCAAUGCAGGAAAUCUGUGGGCACCCUCGGGGAUUGAAAUUGCUAUUUCUCAGCUGUUUGAUGCUUUUCUCAGUAUGCUGAUUCUUCAUAUUCCUGACAUAGAGUUUAACCCUAUGGGAACCUGGGUUUUAAUGAGCAUGAACAGGUUCCUAAAAUUGUAAUAGGUUUGUUACUUCAGGGACGGAUGUGUAUGCAUUUCCAUGUUGAAGGACAUACCAGAAGUACUGGGACUUAAAGUUAGCAUGGAAAACCAAAGAAGGCACUAAGUGGACAGACUUCUCUAAAGGACUUCUUUUGCUUGCUGAAGCAUCAGAUCCUACCAGCUUCUGUUCUUACUUCUUGUAGGGCACCUUUAAACCAUAUUUGCAGUAUAAAGCACUUCAGUAUUAUUUGGAAUAGAUCCCAUACCUCUUUAAAAGUUGGAUCUAGUCAAAGAAUAAUUCUGUAACAACAACGCUGUAUUUCUUCCACCCUCUACUGAUCUCUAGAGCCAAAGUAUUUGUUGCACGAUGCUCUUUAGUUCAUUCUCCUAUCAGCAGCGCAGAGGCAUUACAGCAAUCUGAUGUAAUAUGCUUUAUCACCACCAAAGCAGUUGCCAGGAUUACCACAUUUUUUUAUACUAAUUCAGUGAAAGUGUACAUGGUGUUUAAAGCACAUCUUGAUUUUGAGUUCUGGAGUUGUAUUUUAGGGACUGUAGAGAUAGGACAAGGAGUAACUGGUUAAAACUUAAACAAGGGAAGUUUAGAUUGGAUAUAAGGAAGAAAUUCUUUCCUGUUAGGGUGGUGAGGCACUGGAAUGGGUUGCCCAGGGAGGCUGUGAAUGCUCCAUCCCUGGUGGUGUUCAAGGCCAGGUUGGACAAAGCCUUGGGUGGCAUGGUCUAGUGUGGGGUGUCCCUGCUCAUGGCAGGGGUGUUGGAACUAGAGGAUCUUUAGGUCCUUUCCAACCCUAACUCUUCUGUGAUUCUAUGAUUUUCAAGCCUAAAAUUCAAGCCUAGCAAAUUUGUUUUAUUGAGCUAGUGCAUACUUUGCACAAAUUAAGAAGGUUGAGUAUGAAACAUCAAGGUAGCAUUUUUAGGAACCAAAUUUUGCAGCCAGGCAUGUAGCCAAAAGCCAAACUAUUAAGCUGAUUUUGAUUACAUCUUGAAUUGGUAGAAAAGUAUCUGUGGGCAAAGAGAAAACUUUGCUUGCUGAGCCUUAUCGCUGAAAUAUCAUAUGACCUUUCCUGUGCCAAUACAACCACUUGUACUGUAUUCCCACGACUCCCUCUGGUGGCAAACUUGUCCAUCCCAGGUGCUGGGUAACAUCCCUCUGUUUUUGAUUGAUGCUACACAUGGGCUACAGGCAUUUUGAUCGAUUCUCAGCUCAUUCCAGCAGUGGAAAUGCUGUUAAAAUUUCUGUUCAAGUUGUGUCUUUUUCUUACUUUUAGUUAUAUAUCUAACAGUUUGAGUUAUCAAACUACUGUUAAACCUGCCUAAUAUUGAAAACACUGCAGAAAAUGUUUGUUUAAUAAUAUUUUGUAAAACAAAUAAUAUCUCUGGUUUACAUUCUUCCCUUUCAUGUCGCCCAUCACUAUACAAACACCUCACAAAUGGUCCUGAUUUGUCUUAGGCCAGGCUGAUGAGGCAAAGAGCAGCAUCACAACAGGGAGCUGCAGCCUGGAGGAGGCAAGUGAUUUUCCCAGUUUCACAUGCAGAGCCAGUGCCAUGCUGGGAAAACCUGGAGUUUCGUCUUACCUGGGGCAGCAUACCCCACCCAGUUGUAUAAAGGGACUAUAACAUCUACUAAUUCACUUUUAUGUUCAAGGUUUUUCUUUCCCCACCAUUGGAGACAGCACUGCCUACCAGCUGCCGUCCUUGCCAGACCAUCCCUCACUACCUGCCUGCUGCCUAGACAUGAAGCAGCGGACCCUGACAGUCUCUGUGUGUCCAGAAUCCUGGCAAAUGUGGUAGGAAUUUGAUGAGAGAAGACCCAUCAUGGCCUGCUCAUCCAACUUUAUGAAACUGAUUGGUACCAAAAUUACGUUACAUAAUUAAGUCACUUUAAUGAGAGCUAAACUCCUUUAUAAACAUUGCUUUGCAACUUAUUUUUUGCUUCAGACUUGUCCUUUUUGUGCACAUCUGACCUCACUUUCAUCAAGCAAUGCCAUUGGCACUGAAAUAUCAAGAGAAAUUACAGAUUUUAGAGAAAAAGGAAUCAUCCUCUUAACUCAAUAGCUGGAGGAUGAAAAUAUUUCUGUUUAUCCUGCUGUCAAAUCAACUGUGUUUUAUUUGUUACGUUGUUCAGAUUAGUAACACUGCUUUCCACAAAGGCGCUAUGUUGGUAAGUCAUACCCCAUGCCCACACCGAGCAUGUAAUUCCUCCUCUUGUCAUGAAUAAACCUUCUUAGCUGAGUACAUAAGGAUGAUGUGCAAAAGGAUCACAACUAGCCCAAAAGGUAGAAUGAUAUAGGGAUAUGUCUGCAGAACAAAAUAGGAAACACUUUAAUGCAUGAUGAUGUCCCGGUGAUCAAAACAGAGCAUGCAUUGCAGGGAGAUGGGAAAUUAAGGAGGUCUCUUAUGUCACCUCUGCUAAGCAGGAUCCUACUAUUUUUAGCAUUUGAAUUCAGGUUAGAAUUCAGGUCUCUCUUCCAGACACACACGUGUCACUGCCUAUAUAUACGUACACGAUAUAUGUGACAUAAUUUUCUGUUGCCUCAAAUGGAAAUUUUUUACUCAGUAAUUUCUUAUUCCGAGGCUGUUCUGAAGAAAGGUAGGUCCAGUUAUGUGAUCCUAGUAAAUUUAUUAUGACUAAGGCUCUGGUCUUUGUCCUGUAAGUAUUUAAGUAUAGUCUUUUUAUGCUUGAAUUUUAUUUCUCUAUAUAAAUCAUACCUAUUGCAGCUGCCAUGAAGUUGAGGCAUACCUGGCACUGUUGAUGUGGGAUCAGAAUGAUGGAACCUGAACACAUCGGUCCUGCCCCUGUCUGACAGAGAAGAGUAAACCCUUGCAACAUUUUUUUCCCUGUUCAGGUUUGCCCUGUCUUAUAACUUCUAAGAGUAGAUUGACAAUGAUAAUACAGGAGUAUGAGGACUGCCACCUAUACAAAUUCAUCAACACCAGAGGCCAUUCCCAUCCCAGUAUCAUAACCAUUUUGUUGUGUUUCUCCUUCCUGAGUUUUUUCCUCUGCCCAGUGAAUCUUUGUUUUCUAGCUGCAGAGCGGAUCAACUACAGCUGAAAGCAGAGCUGCCUAAACCAGCUAAAAGCCAAAGCAUUCUCCUGGUACAGGAACAGAAUUGAUCCAAACACCUACAUGCUCAGGAAUGGGUAGAAAUUGGAGUUUCCUAUUCCUGGGGGAAGGUUCUUUAGAUGGACUGUUCUUAAAUGGCACCCUCUGUGAAGACUCUAUUCUUUUCCCCUGCCUCCUGAUGACAGCUUCAUAAUUGGUUUUGGAGUGACACACGGAACAGGCAGCCUGAACCAGGGCACAACUGAGACCAGCUUCAUUGAGAAAGGGUUGUAUUCAUUGAGGACAGGAUUUCUAAUAGCAAAAAAAUGUCUUAGCUAAUGAUAUUCCACUAAUCAUCUGAGGCUGGGACAAUAGAAAGUAGAUUAACUCCCCCAGCAAGUGUUAAUGCUGGAAAUCAAAAGCGGUGACUGGUAAAAUUUAUUUCAUAGUCUUCAAGAAGAAAAGGCUUCUACUUUACUACAAAUUAAGACCUGUUUUCUAUGAGACAGCAGACUGUCCUGUCAUUCUCCAGACUAUUUUAAAGUUGAGCCUUUUUCUCUUCUUUUAGGCAUUGCAGCGUAUUAUGAACAAAAAACUUUAAUUGUUCAGGAUGUCACCUUCUGUUUGACAGGAGGAAACAAGGAGCGAUUACUGCGUCUGUGGAUUUCACAUGGAGCCAGGGAAGACAAUAAAAAAAUGAAGCAAGAUUUCCUCUUAUAAAGGAAAAGGAAAAGAAACCAUUUAUGAGCAGCAGAAUAAAUGGCUGUGUUUGAUAUUA
Pezoporus occidentalis (night parrot) is the source of this 4606-nucleotide RNA transcript. It is a transcript of the gene named G protein-coupled receptor 85, with no coding region annotated. The transcript is spliced from 3 exons. The record is from RefSeq and is a predicted model, not a curated record. Lineage: Eukaryota; Metazoa; Chordata; Aves; Psittaciformes; Psittacidae.